This 530-nucleotide ribosomal RNA is filed under the name Apiomerus longispinis. Its description in RNAcentral is "partial 16S ribosomal RNA". It matches the Rfam family "Bacterial large subunit ribosomal RNA", at positions 1808 to 2612 of the family's 2925-position model. The record is from RNAcentral. Lineage: Eukaryota; Metazoa; Arthropoda; Insecta; Hemiptera; Reduviidae.
CAAAAACAUGUCCUUUUGGUUUUAUUUAAGGUCUAGCCUGCCCAAUGAUUAUAUUGAAUGGCCGCGGUAUUUUAACUGUGCUAAGGUAGCAUAAUCAUUUGUCUUUUAAUUGAAGGCUGGUAUGAAUGGUUGGACGAGGCAUAAUCUUUCUUUAUCUUAAUUUAUGAAUUUAAUUUCUUAGUCAAAAAGCUAAGAUUUAUUUAUUGGACGAGAAGACCCUAUAGAUCUUUAUAUUUUUUUUGAUUUAGUAAUUUGGGUAAUUUUUUAUUUUAAUCAGAAUAGUUAUUUGGUUGGGGUGACUUUAGAAUUUUAAUAACUUCUAUUUAUGUUUUUCAUUUAUAUAUGUUUUUUUGAUCCAUUAGUAGUGAUUAUAAGAUUAAGUUACCUUAGGGAUAACAGCGUAAUUCCUUUGGAGAGUUCCUAUCGAUGAAGGAGUUUGCGACCUCGAUGUUGGAUUAAAAUAAGUGAUGGAUGCAGUAGUUCAUUAACUAGGUCUGUUCGACCUUUUAUUUUUUACAUGAUCUGAGUUC